CUCGUCUCUGUGUUUAUCCGGUUGAGGACUGAAGACUGGCAGAUGCUGUAUGGAAGAAGAGGAUGGUUCUCGUUCAUUCUCGAAGAAGACCAAAAUGGCAUCAGUAUACUAGAGUCACAUUACAGCGCACUGGACCGUGGCUGAUCAGACCAAUGCGAGCUCAGAAUGCUCUAUCACAGGUUUAUCUACAUGCUGAUCUGGAAGCAAGUUGUUGACCGAGCUCCCAUACAGCUCUGGUGGGGUACUGUUGAGUGGAGUCUCCAAAAAUGGGCUUGGAGACAGAAUGGCAAUCAAAGAUUUGAUAGCAGUGGGAAGGAAUUCUCUAAAUUCAAACUGGAUAAUUGGAUCUGUAAAAAAGCAGCCAAAAAGAACAAACAAUCUUACCCUGGGGCUUUUGCCGAAUUAUAUUUGUCAAUACAAAAUUUAUAUAUAUGAAUAUAAAUUUAUAUACAAAACUAUAUAUAUCAUA
Molecule: long non-coding RNA, 469 nt
Organism: Vombatus ursinus (common wombat)
Lineage: Eukaryota; Metazoa; Chordata; Mammalia; Diprotodontia; Vombatidae
Exons: 3
Source: RefSeq, a predicted model, not a curated record